RNAcentral lists this ribosomal RNA (649 nucleotides) under uncultured bacterium. RNAcentral describes it as "bacterial SSU rRNA". It matches the Rfam family "Bacterial small subunit ribosomal RNA", at positions 8 to 650 of the family's 1533-position model. The record is from RNAcentral.
AGAGUUUGAUCCUGGCUCAGAGCGAACGCUGGCGGCGUGCCUAACACAUGCAAGUCGAACGCUGAACUCCUGAAUCUUCGGAUUUGGGAGCUAGGCGUGGCGCACGGGUGAGUAACGCGUGGAUAACCUGCCCACUAGUGGGGAAUAACCCCGGGAAGCUGGGGCUAAUACCGCAUAAUCUUUUCCUGACACCGGUCGGGAAAUGCAAAGCCCGCAAGGGCGCUGGUGGAGGGAUCCGCGUCUGAUCAGCUAGUUGGUGAGGUAACGGCUCACCAAGGCAGAGACCGGUAGCCGGUCUGAGAGGACGAUCGGCCACACUGGAACUGAGACACGGUCCAGACUCCUACGGGAGGCAGCAGUGAGGAAUAUUGCGCAAUGGGGGAAACCCUGACGCAGCGACGCCGCGUGGAGGACGACGCCCUUCGGGGUGUAAACUCCUUUCGACGGGGACGAAUGCCCGCAAGGGUUUGACGGUACCCGUAUAAGAAGCCCCGGCUAACUACGUGCCAGCAGCCGCGGUAAUACGUAGGGGGCAAGCGUUGCUCGGAAUUACUGGGCGUAAAGGGUCCGUAGGCGGUGGGGCAUGUCGGUUGUGAAAUCUCCCGGCUUAACUGGGAGGGUGCGAUCGAAACUGCUCCGCUAGAGGGCC